RNAcentral lists this ribosomal RNA (479 nucleotides) under uncultured bacterium. RNAcentral describes it as "partial 16S ribosomal RNA". It matches the Rfam family "Bacterial small subunit ribosomal RNA", at positions 28 to 507 of the family's 1533-position model. The record is from RNAcentral.
GAUGAACGCUAGCGGGAGGCCUAACACAUGCAAGCCGAGCGGUAGAGUCUCUUCGGAGACUUGAGAGCGGCGCACGGGUGCGGAACACGUGUGCAACCUGCCUUUAUCUGGGGGAUAGCCUUUCGAAGGGAAGAUUAAUACCCCAUAAUAUACUGGAUGGCAUCAUCUGGUAUUGAAAACUCCGGUGGAUAGAGAUGGGCACGCGCAAGAUUAGAUAGUUGGUGAGGUAACGGCUCACCAAGUCAGCGAUCUUUAGGGGGCCUGAGAGGGUGAUCCCCCACACUGGUACUGAGACACGGACCAGACUCCCACGGGAGGCAGCAGUGAGGAAUAUUGGACAAUGGGUGAGAGCCUGAUCCAGCCAUCCCGCGUGAAGGACGACGGCCCUAUGGGUGGUAAACUUCUUUUGUAUAGGGAUAAACCUAGAUACGUGUAUCUAGCUGAAGGUACUAUACGAAUAAGCACCGGCUAACUCCGUG